Molecule: long non-coding RNA, 1040 nt
Filed under: Sus scrofa (pig)
Lineage: Eukaryota; Metazoa; Chordata; Mammalia; Artiodactyla; Suidae
Description: lncRNA (ENSSSCG00005029770.1)
Source: RNAcentral
AAGACAGUUUUACAGAUACUGUAUACAGAUUUUUUUUUCCCAUUCAUGCAACUUUUUUUUCUUAAAAAAGUUAAAACAUGUGAAGCCAAAAUGUACAAUACACUGUUUUUUAAUAUGAACUCAUUUUUUUCUGGUCCUCCUUCACAUCUGUUUACAUUUCCCAUGUACAUAAUGUGCUAGGACAAGUAUAUUGAGAGAAGACUGAUUGCCAGGCAAUGAGAUAAAAUUUUAGAGAAAGAAGUGACCAGACACACAUUUGUGGUUUUUUUGUUUUGUUUUUUUUUUCGUUUUAAAGCAGCCGCACAAAUAUUUUUGGAGUGUGGCAGAAGCCUUGGAACCAAUCAUUCAUCAAAGAAAAAUACAUAAAAAUAAAACUAUGAGGAAAAUACUUCAUUCAUUCAAACUGCAUAAAAGAUUACCCACUAGAGAUCUAGAGCAAAUAUAAUACACAGUCAUCCUUCGGUAUCCAUGGGGGAUUGGUUGCAGGACCCCCCCAGAUAACCCAAAUCUGUGGAGGCCCAAGUCCCUUACGUAAAAUGGCACAGUACAGCAGAUUCAGUGAAAGGCAGGGUGAAAUCAACCGGGCGGUUGCUCAGACACGACAACCCAAGCGGGGCAGGAGAGACAAGUGACAACACCAAAUGGAACUUUUAUUAUGCUAGGAGCUGUUAUCGCCACCAACAUCACCCCCAGAGGGACUGUGGAGCAAAGGUGCACAAGGGGGCUCCUGGGGGCCGGUGACGGGUGCAGGGGGUCGGGUGGCACGUCUGUGCUGGUGGAAGGGAGGCGGUGCCCAGUGCAGGGGGCGAGUGUCAGCGAGAACUCAUGCAGGGAGGUCUGUGCUGAAAUACUAGCCUGUAUUCCUAACAUUCAUGCAGAAUGUUCCAUUUUGUCCUGUACAUGAUAAAAUAUAUUUAUACAUUUAUAUGUCUAGUGCUUUUUAUGCAAAGAAAAAGAGUCUUCAUAUAUCACUUUGGAGAAGUAGGCAUAUGCUGUGCUAAUCAGAGCGUCAUUAUACAGGUUUCAAAUGUACCAAAGGU